This 1311-nucleotide ribosomal RNA is filed under the name Meloidogyne arenaria. Its description in RNAcentral is "SSU rRNA". It matches the Rfam family "Eukaryotic small subunit ribosomal RNA", at positions 1 to 1329 of the family's 1831-position model. Lineage: Eukaryota; Metazoa; Nematoda; Chromadorea; Rhabditida; Meloidogynidae. The record is from RNAcentral.
UCUGGUUGAUCCUGCCUGAACUGAUGUGUUCAUUUCAAAGAUUAAGCCAUGCAUGUAUAAGUUUAAUCGUUUUAACGAGAAACCGCGAACGGCUCAUUACAAUGGCCAUGAUUUACUUGAUCUUGAUUAUCUAAAUGGAUAACUGUGGAAAAGCUAGAGCUAAUACAUGCACCAAAGCUUUGUCCUCUCGGAAAAGCGCAUUUAUUAGAACAAAACCACGCGGCUUCGGCUGCUUCUUGUUGACUCAAGAAUAACUAAGCUGACCGCAUGGCCUUGUGCCGGCGGCGUGUCUUUCAAGCGUCCACUUUAUCAACUUGACGGGAGCAUAAUCGACUCCCGUGGUGGUGACGGAUAACGGAGGAUCAGGGUUCGACUCCGGAGAAGGGCCUGAGAAAUGGCCACUACGUCUAAGGAUGGCAGCAGGCGCGCAAAUUACCCACUCUCGGCUCGAGGAGGUAGUGACGAGAAAUAACGAGAUCGUUCUCUUUGAGGCCGGUCAUCGGAAUGGGUACAAUUUAAACCCUUUAACGAGUAUCAAGCAGAGGGCAAGUCUGGUGCCAGCAGCCGCGGUAACUCCAGCUCUGCUAAUACAUAGAAUUAUUGCUGCGGUUAAAAAGCUCGUAGUUGGAUUCGUAUCGGUACCCUGGAACCCUCCGGGUGUUUCUGGGUGUUAUCGAUUUAUCGUAAUGUUCGGUUUUGAGUCCUUAACAGGAUUCUUAACAGGCAUUGUAAGUUUACUUUGAACAAAUCAGAGUGCUUCAAACAGGCGUUUUCGCUUGAAUGAGCGUGCAUGGAAUAAUAGAAAACGAUUUCGGUUCAGUUUUAUUGGUUUUACGGACUGAGAUAAUGGUUAACAGAGACAAACGGGGGCAUUUGUAUGGCCCCGUGAGAGGUGAAAUUCUUGGACCGUGGCCAGACAAACUACAGCGAAAGCAUUUGCCAAGAAUGUCUUCAUUAAUCAAGAACGAAAGUCAGAGGUUCGAAGGCGAUCAGAUACCGCCCUAGUUCUGACCGUAAACGAUGCCAACUAGCGAUCCGCCGAUGGAAAUUUAUUGCCUUGGUGGGGAGCUUCCCGGAAACGAAAGUCUUCCGGUUCCGGGGGAAGUAUGGUUGCAAAGCUGAAACUUAAAGGAAUUGACGGAAGGGCACCACCAGGAGUGGAGCCUGCGGCUUAAUUUGACUCAACACGGGGAAACUCACCCGGCCCGGACACUGUGAGGAUUGACAGAUUGAUAGCUUUUUCAUGAUUCAGUGGAUGGUGGUGCAUGGCCGUUCUUAGUUCGUGGAGUGAUUUGUCUGGUUUAUUCCGAU